This is a small nucleolar RNA of Fukomys damarensis (Damara mole-rat), 85 nucleotides long. Lineage: Eukaryota; Metazoa; Chordata; Mammalia; Rodentia; Bathyergidae. The record is from Ensembl.
UGGCCUGAAAUGAUGACUAAAUUUCAUGUCUCUUCUUUGACACCUGUCUGGAGAUAUUUUUUGCCUUAACAAUCUGAUCAGGCUG